AGCCGCGGGAGCAGGUGCCUGUGUGCAGCCGCGUCUGGGCCCGUAGGUGUGAGAGGCUGGUGUCCCCAGGUCCACACAGGAGCCCUGACCCCCAGGGUGGCUGCACUUGCAGGUGACUGAGGUCAGAGGAGGUUGUAAGGGGAGGGCCUGGCCCCACACGACUGGCCUUGUUGCAAGAAGAGACCCCAGGAGAACCAGAGGGCCGGCCGGCCAUGUGAAGACAUGGCAGGUGGCCACCUGCCCGCCAAGGACGCCACAAGGAACAGCCUGGCUGACACCCGGUGUGGGAGCCCAGGCGGGGCUGGGGCAGAAGCACCUCAUCCAGGCCCCAUCCCUGCUCCCAGGCUGGCCGGCCAGACCCAGCCGUGCCGCCGAGUGGGUCCGCCCUCUCCGGGCAGCAGGGUGCAGCCCGGGAGCAUGUGUGGGCUGUGUCCCUGUGUGCAUGGCGUGUCACUGGCCCACGUGCUAGAGCGUGUGGCUGCUCCAGGAGCCCUGGUCGAGGGCGAGCCCCAGCUCCCCGAACAGAGAAGACGGACGGCCCAGCGACUGUCCCGGGAGCACGUGGUGGCCUCCGACAGGGCCUGUGCAGCCCCAGGACAGGUGGGCACCAGGUGUGUAAAGGUGGAGAGAGCACACACGUACACACGCAUGCACACGUGCAUGCACCACGCACACGUGCGCACACACACACAGAUCUGGCAUCGCAGGGCGCCGGCGGCUGGGGCGGCACGGCUGGUUGUUUUGUACCUUUUAAGUCGUGCCGUGGCCCAGGCUUACCUACUCGACAGCUAAUUUAAGGAGUUUCCCAGAGAGGAGCCUCCCACAGGACGAGGCCCGGAAAGUCCCUCCUGCCGGCAGCUCAGGUAGCAGCAGUUCCCGGCCCACCUGCGGGAAAGUCCCCAGGCCACGGCCGCGAGGCUCAGCCCUCCGGAGCCUCUGAGGGAGAAGGUCCCCACGGAGAGGGCAGCCUGGUGUCAACUCGCCCCUUCCUCGGUGGCAGCCCAGCCCCAAGCUGCUCGGAAGUGGGCCCUGUGGCAAGGGCUGGUCACAUGGCUGCUCCGGGCGCCCUCUGCUCUGAAGUGGAACCUUCACAGGCCAAGCCACCCAGCUGGCCAGAAAGCCGUGCCCUGAGGUACCACAGCCAUGAGGAGGGGCCAGCGGUGGAUGGGGUGCUGGGGGCGCCCACAUGCCAGGUGUGUGGGUCAGGGGCCUGCAGUCACAGUCUCAGAGCCUGAUCCCCCCACACACACACCAGCCAGAGCACAGGGCACGCUGACCCUAGCAAGGUCUGGACAGCUAGUGCCACAGGGUGGACAGCAGACGACAAGCUGGCCCAUAGCGGCCGCAAGGCGCCUCUCCCCUAAAGCAGAGCCCAGGGCUCAGCCUUAGAUGUCCCCCAACCUCGACUCCCAUUUCCUCCUGGCCCCUCACGGGCGGUUCCCGGACCUGCCUCCCUCUCCCUGGCGUGGCCCCCAUCCUGUCGUGGUUCCUGCACAGGACACCCCACUCCAACCCAGGGUUCUAACCAACCCCCACCUCAAAGCUCAAGGGAAGCCACCUGGCCACAGAUGUUCCAAGCUACCGUUUAUGCGUUUUUGUCCCCCCAGAAAAUGAAGCUGGAAGGAAGACAGACUACACUUUAAAUAAUGAGUGUGGCUCUGGCCGCAGGUCCGUGACUCUUGGGGACGGAGGGCAGCUCUGGCGCCGCCUGGGGCCGCGCUGAUCCCCACGGAA
This is a long non-coding RNA of Myotis brandtii (Brandt's bat), 1734 nucleotides long. RefSeq lists it as uncharacterized. The record is from RefSeq and is a predicted model, not a curated record. The transcript has 2 exons. NCBI's taxonomy places the organism in Eukaryota, Metazoa, Chordata, Mammalia, Chiroptera, Vespertilionidae.